This 463-nucleotide ribosomal RNA is filed under the name uncultured Desulfobulbus sp. RNAcentral's name for it is "bacterial SSU rRNA". It matches the Rfam family "Bacterial small subunit ribosomal RNA", at positions 927 to 1382 of the family's 1533-position model. Lineage: Bacteria; Pseudomonadati; Thermodesulfobacteriota; Desulfobulbia; Desulfobulbales; Desulfobulbaceae. The record is from RNAcentral.
AAGCGGUGGAGGUAUGUGGUUUAAUUCGAUGCAACGCGAAGAACCUUACCUGGUCUUGACAUCCCGGAGACCCUUAGGAAACUAGGGGGUGGCUUCCAUCUGGAAGAAUCUGGAGACAGGUGCUGCAUGGCUGUCGUCAGCUCGUGUCGUGAGAUGUUGGGUUAAGUCCCGCAACGAGCGCAACCCUUGCCUUUAGUUGCCAGCAGUUCGGCUGGGCACUCUAAAGGGACUGCCGGUGUUAAACCGGAGGAAGGUGGGGAUGACGUCAAGUCCUCAUGGCCUUUAUGACCAGGGCUACACACGUACUACAAUGGCCGAUACAAAGGGCAGCGACACUGCGAGGUGAAGCCAAUCCCGUAAAAUCGGUCUCAGUCCGGAUUGGAGUCUGCAACUCGACUCCAUGAAGUUGGAAUCGCUAGUAAUCGUGGAUCAGCAUGCCACGGUGAAUACGUUCCCGGGCCUU